RNAcentral lists this ribosomal RNA (515 nucleotides) under Vibrio owensii. Its description in RNAcentral is "bacterial SSU rRNA". It matches the Rfam family "Bacterial small subunit ribosomal RNA", at positions 30 to 522 of the family's 1533-position model. The record is from RNAcentral. Lineage: Bacteria; Pseudomonadati; Pseudomonadota; Gammaproteobacteria; Vibrionales; Vibrionaceae.
AUUGAACGCUGGCGGCAGGCCUAACACAUGCAAGUCGAGCGGAAACGAGUUAUCUGAACCUUCGGGGAACGAUAACGGCGUCGAGCGGCGGACGGGUGAGUAAUGCCUAGGAAAUUGCCCUGAUGUGGGGGAUAACCAUUGGAAACGAUGGCUAAUACCGCAUAAUGCCUACGGGCCAAAGAGGGGGACCUUCGGGCCUCUCGCGUCAGGAUAUGCCUAGGUGGGAUUAGCUAGUUGGUGAGGUAAUGGCUCACCAAGGCGACGAUCCCUAGCUGGUCUGAGAGGAUGAUCAGCCACACUGGAACUGAGACACGGUCCAGACUCCUACGGGAGGCAGCAGUGGGGAAUAUUGCACAAUGGGCGCAAGCCUGAUGCAGCCAUGCCGCGUGUGUGAAGAAGGCCUUCGGGUUGUAAAGCACUUUCAGUCGUGAGGAAGGUGGUGUAGUUAAUAGCUGCAUUAUUUGACGUUAGCGACAGAAGAAGCACCGGCUAACUCCGUGCCAGCAGCCGCGGUA